UGGGGGAUAUUGCACAAUGGGCGAAAGCCUGAUGCAGCGACGCCGCGUGGGGGAUGAAGGCCUUCGGGUUGUAAACUUCUUUUGCUCUGAACAAGGCAUGCUAAUGGGUGUGUUGAGUGUAGGGGUUGAUUAGCGCCGGCUAACUACGUGCCAGCAGCCGCGGUAAUACGUAGGGCGCGAGCGUUGUCCGGAAUUAUUUGGCGUAAAGGGCUUGUAGGUGGCUGGUUGCGUCUGUCGUGAAAGCUCAAGGCUUAACUGUGGGUUUGCGGUGGGUACGGGCUGGCUGGAGUGCAGUAGGGGAGGCUGGAAUUCCUGGUGUAGCGGUGGAAUGCGCAGAUAUCAGGAGGAAGACCAGUGGCGAAGGCGGGUCUCUGGGCUGUUACUGACACUGAGGAGCGAAAGCAUGGGGAGCGAACAGG
This 419-nucleotide ribosomal RNA is filed under the name bacterium. RNAcentral describes it as "partial 16S ribosomal RNA". It matches the Rfam family "Bacterial small subunit ribosomal RNA", at positions 355 to 776 of the family's 1533-position model. The record is from RNAcentral.